UACACGACCGUACCGCAAACCGACACUGGUGCGCGAGAUGAGUAUUCUAAGGCGCUUGAGAGAACUCAGGAGAAGGAACUCGGCAAAUUGACACCGUAACUUCGGAAGAAGGUGUGCCUUUAGUAGGUGAAGGGAUUUACUCCUGGAGCCCAAUGAGGUUGCAAAAAAUCGGUGGCUGCGACUGUUUAUUAAAAACACAGCACUCUGCAAACACGAAAGUGGACGUAUAGGGUGUGACGCCUGCCCGGUGCUGGAAGAUUAAAUGAUGGGGUUCAAGCUCUUGAUUGAAGUCCCAGUAAACGGCGGCCGUAACUAUAACGGUCCUAAGGUAGCGAAAUUCCUUGUCGGGUAAGUUCCGACCUGCACGAAUGGCGUAACGAUGGCCACACUGUCUCCUCCUGAGACUCAGCGAAGUUGAAAUGUUUGUGAUGAUGCAAUCUCCCCGCGGAAAGACGGAAAGACCCCAUGAACCUUUACUGUAGCUUUGUAUUGGACUUUGAACAGAUCUGUGUAGGAUAGGUGGGAGGCUUUGAAGCAGGGUCGCUAGAUCUUGUGGAGCCAACGUUGAAAUACCACCCUGGUGUGUUUGAGGUUCUAACCUAGGCCCGUAAUCCGGGUUGGGGACAGUGCAUGGUAGGCAGUUUGACUGGGGCGGUCUCCUCCCAAAGUGUAACGGAGGAGUUCGAAGGUACGCUAGUUACGGUCGGACAUCGUGACGAUAGUGCAAUGGCAUAAGCGUGCUUAACUGCGAGACUGACAAGUCGAGCAGAUGCGAAAGCAGGACAUAGUGAUCCGGUGGUUCUGUAUGGAAGGGCCAUCGCUCAACGGAUAAAAGGUACUCUGGGGAUAACAGGCUGAUACCGCCCAAGAGUUCAUAUCGACGGCGGUGUUUGGCACCUCGAUGUCGGCUCAUCUCAUCCUGGGGCUGUAGCCGGUCCCAAGGGUAUGGCUGUUCGCCAUUUAAAGAGGUACGUGAGCUGGGUUUAAAACGUCGUGAGACAGUUUGGUCCCUAUCUUCCGUGGGCGCUGCAGAUUUGAGGAAGCCUGCUCCUAGUACGAGAGGACCGGAGUGGACGCACCUCUGGUGUAUCGGUUGUCACGCCAGUGGCAUUGCCGAGUAGCUAUGUGCGGAAGAGAUAACCGCUGAAAGCAUCUAAGCGGGAAACUCGUUUCAAGAUGAGAUCUGCCGGGGCCUUGAGCCCCCUGAAGAGUCGUUCAAGACCAGGACGUUGAUAGGUCGGGUGUGGAAGCGCAGUAAUGCGUUAAGCUAACCGAUACUAAUUGCUCGUGCGGCUUGACCCU
Molecule: ribosomal RNA, 1302 nt
Filed under: metagenome
Description: bacterial LSU rRNA
Rfam family: Bacterial large subunit ribosomal RNA
Source: RNAcentral